UACAAUCUCAAACAAAAGCGAAUUCAUUUAUUCCAUUGAAUUUUUUGUAAUCGGUGAUAAUAGUUCGGAGUGAUUGAACUGCAACUAAAAAGAUUUGCAUUGUAAUAAAGGAUCGGACCAAAGAGAAGUCGGAACGAAUUGCAGCCUGGUCAUCAUCUGGCCCUACAGACUCCCACGGACUUCCAGCGUACUCUCCCUUCUCUGCUCAACUCGGUGAACUCCGGGCCGUUUCAGGUAUUUUAAGACCUACCCUUCACAAGGAUUGCUCGUAGUUUUAAUUGUUGUUAGAGACAAUCUGUGGAUACCAAACAACAAUCGGACGCGUGAUAUAUGCCCAAAGAAUUUCCCUGCAAAUCCUCCACAUCAUAACAGGACGAUCCAAUUUUUCCUACUACCUUUGCCAAGGAAAAAGUAUCUGCCAAAUUCGCAGAAAAGUUUUUGGCCUUAUUGGACUGGAAGAAGUUCUUCUUCAUAACGGUUUCUCCAAUUUCAAAUGUUGUCUCAAUUUCCAAGAUGUGAAGUGUGAUGCAGAACAAUUCGUUGGAGCUUCGAAAUGAAAAUGAAAUCCAAUUUACCCAAUACAAAUUCAAAUAGACUUCGAGGAAGUUGUAACUUAAGUCUUCAAAACUAUGAAUUUCAAAUAACUUAUCCGAAUAUUUACUUUACAAAAAAAAACUAAUAAUUCAAAUUUUACCCACUAAACUAACCCUAAUAAUAAUAAAUUCAAUCCAAUAUAUAUAUAUAUACAAAUUCAAAUAACAAUAAUAAUAUAUACAAUUUAUUUUCAGUACCAAACCGUUAGUUGGGCGCCAAAUGUAACGGGAGGAAGGAUAUCGAGGACAAGGAGGCGAUACAACCUUCACUUAAGCGCCAGGCAAGUUUUUACACUUGCCGUGAAGGAGCGAGAUUUGUCUCUUCAGUUUCCCGUGCCCGACCGUGAGACCUCAGGGCGAGUUCCUGCCUACGAUCUUCAACCCACACUUGAAUUGUCUUGGCGCUCACCAAGGAAUAGAAUUCAAUCAAUUGGUAUUCAACAACAUCCAGGAUGGAAAGGUUUGCCUUCCCAGAGCCUAUGCUACCUCGAACCCGAAAACCGAACAAUUGAAGGGCCUCAAAACAGCCGAAAUUCAAUAAACAUAAAU
Toxorhynchites rutilus septentrionalis is the source of this 1142-nucleotide long non-coding RNA. RefSeq lists it as uncharacterized. The transcript is spliced from 5 exons. The record is from RefSeq and is a predicted model, not a curated record. Lineage: Eukaryota; Metazoa; Arthropoda; Insecta; Diptera; Culicidae.